This is a long non-coding RNA of Balaenoptera musculus (blue whale), 1295 nucleotides long. RefSeq lists it as uncharacterized. The record is from RefSeq and is a predicted model, not a curated record. NCBI's taxonomy places the organism in Eukaryota, Metazoa, Chordata, Mammalia, Artiodactyla, Balaenopteridae. The transcript is spliced from 3 exons.
CGAGCCCGCGGUCGGGACCCUGGCGUGCAGCGCGGGCCUCGGCGGGGCCCAAGGCCCCGGCCCGGAAGGAUGCGGCCCUGGGCGGCCCGGGAGCUGAGCAGGGCCCCCGCGCCGACCCCCGCGGGCCCCGGCCUCCGGAGCCGCAGCUGCCGCCCGGCGCCCGAGAGACAUGACUUGCAAGCCGCGUUCCGACUGGAUUCCCUACAGUGUCUUAGAUGAUGAGGGCAGCAACCUGAGGCAGCAGAAGCUUGACCGGCAGCGGGACCAAUUUAAAAAAAAAGGAAGACAAACAAAAAAACAACAAUAUGGCAAGAAGUUAAUGACGAGUAUUUCAAUCUUUCCCUUUUCGGUUUUCAUCCAAGAAUCUUGACUGAACUGCAGUUGUGCACGGACGAAGGGAUCAUCCACUGACAGCAGGUGUAAGCAGCAUCUCCAGAGCAGCAGCCCACGAGGGGCUGGCAGCCCGCGAGCCAAAGCAGUUGGCCCAGAGUGUGGUGGGGCGUCCAGAGCUGAACUGAUAACAGCCUUCCUGUGAUACUCAGCCCGGAGAUCACGUUGGAAAGAGGUGGUCAUCAUGACUGGCUGUGUGUUCUCUCUUGACUGAUGGAGGAACCUGGAGGUCAAUUCAAAGAAAAAGAAUUGGAAAAUUAUUAACUAUCUUGAAAUUCAGCAAUAUACCUAUAGAAAAACCAAAUCUAAAAAAGUCAAUGCACCAAGAAGAGAACACAACAGAUGUUAAAUUAAAUAAAUAUUAUCAUAAGCAUUAACACUCAAAUGACUUGAGGUAGGAGAAGGAGUCAUCUUGCUUCUCUUAACUGCUGAACAUCCUCCUCUUAUUCUGAUGCAAGGAGAUGGAAACAUGUCCCACUACCAAAUCUGGAUGCCUGUACUUAAAUCACCAUGGUGCAAAGCAAGUACUUGAACAGAAAAACAACAGGGAAGCUAUCACACCUCCUUCCUACUCUAUCUCGGGGUUGAGUAUCACAGGAAGGCUGUUAUUGGUUCAGGCCUGGUCACUCCACCACUCUUUGGACCAAUAGCUGUGGCUCACGGGCUGCCAGUCCCUCCUCGGCUGCAUCAGUGGAGGGUGGGGCCUGAGCUCCUCUCACUGGAUACUCUCAUCAUCCAGUGAUGCAAAAUUGCAGGUCCUGAAGGUCUGAAGGUUCCUGCAAGGUCCUGAAGGUUCUAAAAAUCAAAAAAUUCUCGAUUGGGAAACAAUAAAUUGUAUGAAUCUGAAUGAAUUCCAGUAGUAAUUUCAGAAACCAGUGACUUAAAAAAGUGAAUUGUUUCUUGGA